This 480-nucleotide ribosomal RNA is filed under the name Hyriopsis panhai. RNAcentral describes it as "partial large subunit ribosomal RNA". It matches the Rfam family "Bacterial large subunit ribosomal RNA", at positions 1817 to 2597 of the family's 2925-position model. The record is from RNAcentral. Lineage: Eukaryota; Metazoa; Mollusca; Bivalvia; Unionida; Unionidae.
CGUCUUUUGCUUCUAUUUAUAAAAGAUAAUGCCUGCCCAGUGAAUUUUUAAACGGCCGCGUUAGCGUGAGCGUGCUAAGGUAGCGUAAUAAUUAGCCUCUCAAUUGGAGGCCAGUGAAAGGCAACACUAGGAAUACCUGUACUUUAUAUGAAAAAAAACUUUUUUUCUAGGUGAAAAAUCCUAGAUAAUAAUGGAAGACGAAAAGACCCCGCGGAACUUUACCUUUUCUUUAGACUUUAUACCAAUAUAUAAUUAAUAAGGUUUGAUUGGGGCAAUCUCGGAACCACCUAAACUUCCGACUUUUUUUAAAAAAAUAAAAAACUUGUUUUGGACCAAAAAGAAGUUACCCCGGGGAUAACAGCGUUAUCCAACUUGAGAGUACACAUCGAAAGUUGGGUUUGCGACCUCGAUGUUGGCUUAAGGACAUCCACAUUAGUGCAGCCGCUAUGAAUGGACAGUCUGUUCGACUAUUAUAACCUU